GUGCCGGGGCUGUCGCUGACUUUGUGCACGCCCCGGUGCUCUCUCCACAAUCCAUCUCACCCCCUUUGUGCAUCACCGCCGUGGGUGCUCUCCUUUUUGGUUCGUUCCGAAAGGGGGCAUUCGCGUUUUUAUACAAAACCCACUGCAUGUGUAGAAUGUCUUACUAUUUGCGAUAAUGCGCAAUCAAUACAACUUUCAACAACGGAUCUCUUGGCUCUCGCAUCGAUGAAGAACGCAGCGAAAUGCGAUACGUAAUGUGAAUUGCAGAAUUCAGUGAAUCAUCGAAUCUUUGAACGCACCUUGCGCCCCUUGGAAUUCCGAGGGGCACACCCGUUUGAGUGUCGUGAACAUCCUUCAACCUUUCUUGGUUUCUUGACCGGGGAAGGCUUGGACUUUGGGGGUCUUUCAUUGCUGGCCUCUUCGAAGCCAGCUCCUCCUAAAUGGAUUAGUGUGGUCUGCUUUGCGGAUCCUUGACGUGAUAAGAUGUUUCUACGUCUUGGGUUUCGCACUGUAGCUUCGGACCCCGCUUCUAACCGUCUUGCAUUCAAGACAGAGUUUUGAACCUUGACCUCAAAUCGGGUGAGACUACCCGCUGAACUUAAGCAUAUCAAUAGCCGGGAGGAAA
This 625-nucleotide ribosomal RNA is filed under the name Russula nigrovirens. RNAcentral's name for it is "eukaryotic LSU rRNA". The stretch from base 191 to 344 matches the Rfam family "5.8S ribosomal RNA". The record is from RNAcentral. Lineage: Eukaryota; Fungi; Basidiomycota; Agaricomycetes; Russulales; Russulaceae.